AGCUGAUCACUGGGCGUAAAGUGUGCGCAGGCGGUCUUGUAAGACAGAGGUGAAAUCCCCGGGCUCAACCUGGGAACUGCCUUUGUGACUGCAAGGCUGGAGUGCGGCAGAGGGGGAUGGAAUUCCGCGUGUAGCAGUGAAAUGCGUAGAUAUGCGGAGGAACACCGAUGGCGAAGGCAAUCCCCUGGGCCUGCACUGACGCUCAUGCACGAAAGCGUGGGGAGCAAACA
This 230-nucleotide ribosomal RNA is filed under the name uncultured Alicycliphilus sp. RNAcentral's name for it is "partial 16S ribosomal RNA". It matches the Rfam family "Bacterial small subunit ribosomal RNA", at positions 550 to 774 of the family's 1533-position model. Lineage: Bacteria; Pseudomonadati; Pseudomonadota; Betaproteobacteria; Burkholderiales; Comamonadaceae. The record is from RNAcentral.